CAACUUGAUUGGAUUCAGAGACUCCUAAGCUGCCACCUGUGCUCCACAACGCCAAGAUGUUCCUGCCUUGGAGCCAGGGACCAUGGACUGAAACCUCUGAAACCGUCAGCUACAUAAACUUCUCUUCUAAAUCACAGCUCCAUGCCCAGACACAGCAAGUGGCUCAGAUGUAACCUACUAAAGCAUUCACUGAUGAAAAUGACUGAAUCCUCCAAUACAAAGCACAAUGACUACCAAUACUGUCAUCUUGAAAAUACUGGCAAUAUCUACCCACAUACAUGCAUAUAUACAUGCUGGAGAUCAAAUCUAGGAUCUCACACGCUAUGUAAGUACUCUACCACUGAAUAACACCAGUCCUAAAAUUUCUUUAUAAAUACAAAAGUUAACUAUUUACAAAGUACUUCAAAGAAAUAUUAUUU
Long non-coding RNA from Fukomys damarensis (Damara mole-rat), 419 nucleotides. RefSeq lists it as uncharacterized. The transcript has 4 exons. Lineage: Eukaryota; Metazoa; Chordata; Mammalia; Rodentia; Bathyergidae. The record is from RefSeq and is a predicted model, not a curated record.